GACUUGUUCCACUUAUUUAUGCAUUUAUUCGUCUCUUCUCCUAUGUGCCCUGACCUGGGAUUGAACCUCGUCGUGUCGGGAGGAAGCCCUAACCGGCCGCCGGCCGGGGCCUUGUGAAAACUCUUAAUCCUAAGUGUUGUUUUACAUGUGAAGCAAGAACAGAAAGUAGACUGUAAAUUUAUCGAAACCAAGAACUAUUUCGUUGCCUGUUGUGUCCCCCGGUCUUGACACUCAGCAGAGAUUCCGUAAGUACUGAAUUGUCUGCGUGACCUCUUCGGCCUCUAGUCUGAUGCUCUUCAGGCCACCUUGCACCCUGCUGAAUGUGUUUCCUCCCAAGUCAGGUAGACAUCAGCCCAGAUCCCACCUGAGCUACAUAAUAGCCCUGUGUUAACUGGCUGAACUGUGUCUCCCUCCAAAACUGUGUUGAAGCCCUAACCCCCAGUAACUCAGAAUGUGAUUGUAUUUGGA
Miniopterus natalensis is the source of this 468-nucleotide long non-coding RNA. RefSeq lists it as uncharacterized. Lineage: Eukaryota; Metazoa; Chordata; Mammalia; Chiroptera; Miniopteridae. The record is from RefSeq and is a predicted model, not a curated record.